This 3163-nucleotide ribosomal RNA is filed under the name Tulasnella asymmetrica. RNAcentral describes it as "eukaryotic LSU rRNA". The stretch from base 1 to 1594 matches the Rfam family "Eukaryotic small subunit ribosomal RNA". The record is from RNAcentral. Lineage: Eukaryota; Fungi; Basidiomycota; Agaricomycetes; Cantharellales; Tulasnellaceae.
AUCAUAUGCAUCAUUCGGACCGCAAAACUUUUGAAAGGCGGCACCUCUUUCAAGUAACUGCCCUAUCACGUUGUCGGUAGUGUAUUGGACUACCGAGCGGACGACCGGUUAACGGGGAAUUAGAGUUCGAUUCCGGAGAAAGAGCAUGAGACACGGCUAUUACAUCCAAGGAAGGCAGCAGGCGCGCAAAUUACCCAAUGGCCAUAUGGCUGAGGUAGUGACAGUACGUAGCAAUGGGGCGGAUGAGCAAUCUGACCUAAUUGAAAUGAGAAAAAACUAAAGCACUGAAUAGAGGAACGAUUGGAGGGCAAGUCUGGUGCCAGCAGCCGCGGUAAUUCCAGCUCCACGAGCGUAUAUUAGAGUUGUUGCAGUUAAAACGUGCGUAGUCGAAGCUGAGGGGUGCCGCAGCUUAGAACCCGUUCCUUUGGGGCGGGCCUCACUGUGGUGUUCCCCUUAUUCACCCGCCUGCCGACGGCUGCCGGCCUCUGGCUGGUUCGCUUUCCCUUACAGGGUGGGCGGCGGGUGAUUUACCUCGAACAAAUGAGCGCGCUUGAGGUAGGCAGAAUGUUGCCCGAAUCAAUUAGCAUGGAAUAGCAGAUGGACAGCGAUGUCUGUUUGUUGGUUUGAGACGUUGCUGUAAUGAUUAAUAGGGGUACUCGGGGCCAACCGUACUCUGGGGAUAGAGGUGAAAUUCUAUGACCCCCAGAAGACGACCGAAUGCGAAAGCAGUUGGCAAGGGUAUCUUCAUUGAUCAAGCACGAAGGGUGGGGGAGCAAAGCCGAUUAGACACCGUUGUAGUCCCACCAGUAAACGAUGCCGACGCGACCUUGGGUGUCUGAGGACACAGUGUUCGGGGGCGUAUAGAAAUUAGAGUCUUUGGGCUCUGGGGGGAGUAUAGUCGCAAGUCUGAAACUUAAAAGGAAUUGACGGAAGGGCACAACCAGGCGUGGAGCCUGCGGCUUAAUUUGACUCAACACGGGGAAACUCACCCAGGUCAGGACAUGAUUAGGAUUGACAGAUUAAUUGGCCUUUCAUAAUCUCAUGGGUGGUGGUGCAUGGCCGUUCUUAGUUCGUGGAUUGAUCUGUCUGGUUGAUUCCGAUAACGAGCGAGACCGGGUCCGGAGGUUGGUGCUGAUCCCUCAUUCACUUUGUGAUCUUUGAGGGUCGCGCGCUCCUCAGGGACAGGCAUCCACAUUAGGAUGUGGAGGCACCCGGCAAUAACAGGUCUGUGAUGCCCUUAGAUGUCCUGGGCCGCACGCGCGCUACACUGAUGCGACCAGUAGGCCAUACCUAUCCCGAGAGGGCUGGGUAAUCCAUUGAGAUCGUAUCGUGCUGGGGAUCGAGCACUGGAAAGCGCUCGUGAACACGGAAUGCCUUGUAAUCGUGGGUCACUAACCCGCGAUGAAUACGUCCCUGCCCUUUGUACACACCGCCCGUCGCUACUACCGAUCGAAUGACUUGGUGAGAUGGCAGGAGCAAUGGGGACUUUGGUUUCGCCCAUCGUCUCUGGAGCGAACGCCCUCAAACUCGGUCAUUUAGAGGAAGUACAAGUCGUAACAAGGUUUCCGUAGGUGAACCUGCGGAAGGAUCAUAGUUAUGGAGAGGACCGCCCUCGGGCGCCUCGUCUACAUUACGGAUGCAAUGCCUUGACUGGCUAUAGCGGYGCCGCAGCGAUGCGCCCGCGCAACCUUUUUGAAAGUCUAUACUUUAUGCCUACGAUAUACAAUAUACGAGUAUACAACUCAUAGCGUUGGAUCCCUUGGCAUGCCAUUCGAUGAAGACCGUUGCAAAAUGCGAUAAGUGGUGUGAUAUGCAAGUCCAAAACUUAUACGUGAAUCAUCGAAUUGUUGAACGCACUGCAUCGAUCCUUAUCCAGGAACGAUACGCCCUAUUGAGCGUCAUUAUGUCUUCGCGGCCUCGUCUUCAUCGACGUUGCCCGGGUUCGGGACCCACGGCCUCGCGGCCGCGUCUCCUCAGAUGCAUUUGCGGCGCGAGACUGUACACUUGCGUCCUUGUCAUGAGUGUCGAGGUACGAGAGUGACGAGACUUGCGCUGGAUCGCCGUCCGCGGCGCAUCAGACCCCGCCUUCGGGCGACCCUACCGACAUGACCUCACGGGGGUGGGACGACCCGCUAGACUUAAGCAUAUUAAUCAGCGGAGGARAAGAAACUAACAAGGAUUUCCCUAGUAACUGCGAGUGAAGAGGAAUGAGCUCAAUGUGUGAAUCGGCUUGGGAAUAACCCCCGGAUCGAGUUGUGCACUAUAGACGGCGGAUCAGCGUUUGGACGGUUCGGGUGUAUGUCCGAUCGAAUUCGGUGCCAUAGAGGGUGAAAGUCCUGUACUUGCCCGUUAACCGUCUGCGCAAUUGACCGACGUUCUGCGAGUCGCGUAGUUUUGUAUUGCUGCGCUAAUUGGGAGGUAGAGCCCUUCUAAAGCUAAAUAUUAUGGCAUGACCGAUAGCAUAUCAAGUACCGCGAGGGAAAGGUGCAAAGCAAAUAUGUAAAAUAUGUUGAAACAGUAGUGAAAGCGCUAUGGGGAUAAGGGCUGGGGAUUGCUCGUGCCGAUCGCCCGUGCUUUAGUGCUGGGCUUCCGGACGGCGUGCGGCGGUUCGGAUGGAGAGAACAGGCCACUUGGAAUUCGGCUGGGUCCGCCCAGUGUUGUAGCCUUGUGCGCAGCGGAGCUCCUCUCGGACCGUUGAGCGUCUUGCGAUUGUCAGCCGCCCGUCUUGAAACACGGACCAAGGAGUGCACAUUGCAUGCGAGUCGGAGGGAUUGGAAUCCCCGAGGCGUAGGGAAACCAAAGGCCGCGAACCCGUAAGGCGUCGGCGGCGCCCGCCCUGUGCGAGGCAGAGCAUGUAGGGUGCGACCCGAAAGAUGUGUGAGCUAUGCCCGGUGAAGGUGAAGCCAGUGGAAACGCUGGUGGAGGCCUGUAGCGGUUCUGACGUGCAGAUCGAUCGUGUCAUCUGGGUAUAGGGGCGAAAGACCUAUCGAACCGUCUAAUGGCUGGUUCCCCCCGAAGUUUCCCUCAGGAUAGCUGUGUCCCUUCUGUCAGUUGCACGCGGUAGAGCGAAUGAUUAGGUGUCUCGGGGCUCUAGUUGCCUCGGCUCAUUCUCAAACUGCGAAUUGUGUGCGCACCGCGGGUGACCUAACGGCACCCCGGGCGA